This 10796-nucleotide long non-coding RNA is filed under the name Brassica napus (rape). RNAcentral describes it as "long non-coding RNA (BNAP_LNC003222)". Lineage: Eukaryota; Viridiplantae; Streptophyta; Magnoliopsida; Brassicales; Brassicaceae. The record is from RNAcentral.
AGCGUUUUCUGCCAAGGAUACAAAGCUCGUGAGUGAGUGAAAAGGAAGGUUCGUAAUCCUUCCUUGCAAUCAAUCGAUCAUUCAUGGCGGAGAACUGCAUAGUUUCGGUCAACCCUAAACCCUCAAAGGGAUUAUCCUCUAAGCUUCUCGAUCUUGUGGAGAGAGUUGUUGUGAAGCUCAUGCACGAUGCUUCUCUGCCUCUCCACUACCUCUCCGGCAACUUCGCUCCCGUGCGGGAUGAAACUCCUCCGGUGAAGGAUCUCCCCGUCGUCCAUGGAUUUCUUCCAGUAAGUGAGCUCUUUAAUUUACACACUCCAUAUCCUUUUCCGAGGAAGGUUCUAAUUCGUCUUUUUUAUAUUUCCCAGGAGCCAAAUAAGAAAAAGAAUACUUAAAUAGAGACAGCGGUCAUGUAAAAGAAAAGAAAGCCAUCAGCAAUUUGAUAAAGAGAAACUUCGUAGCAGUUUCCAAUAUCGUUGUCAAGAAAUGUGGAGGCUAAUCUUCUUUAUUAUUCAUGUGAAGACGACACUGAGAGAGAUAAGGCAAUUGACCUUUAUAUAGAUAAACAAAGAAACAAAUGAAGAAGUUAACCUCCACCAAAUCGUAAAUGUGUCCACCAAUACAUUAUUCUCAACUCUUUUUGCUGCUCCUAGUAGCUUAGGUGUUGAGAGCAGCAGAGACGGAAUGCUUCUGCAAUCUUGGAGAACAGAAGAACUGAAGCAAGAAUUGAUGAAUGGGGACGACAAAUUUAUUAUAUAGAAGCGCACACAUGUCACACAACACCAAGCUUAACAUAUCCAAACGAAUGAGCUUUUGAAUAUAACAAACUAAGCAUGGCACUAGUAACUUGAAACUUUUCACCCACUAAAACUUGGAGAAUUGUUUGUAACUCCAUUUAUUUUGGUUUAAAAGAAAAAGAAGAAGAUCCUUGGCUCUGUGGUUGCUAUUACGUUUGGCCGGAAUCAGUGAAACCAGCCACCUGCUGUCCUCCGGGAUUGAGCUAUCCAGACCAAUCCCUCAAUCAGAGAGCACUUGGCCUUGAACAUUCAUUCCUUGAAUUCACGCUCUUCUGUACUUGUAUCGCGUUCUAGCGAGGCCCAUCGGACCUGAGACCGAAGCGGGUCGCUAAUAAUAACAGGCCCAGUUAUGUGUUCGUCACGUGGCAAACAGACAACCGUAGAUUAUAUAUCAUUAAUUAAUUAAUUACUGGGAUAAAAUUUAUUUUUCUUUCAUAGCCCCCGAGCGGAUCGGAGCAACCUUACUUGCUUGCUAGCUUAAUCGCAAAACGGCGAAGCGAGCAAGAAUCAUUGUCUCAUACUCACAUCCCUUUAGGUAUCUGUCUUCACUCUUGUAUUUCUCUUUUUAUGCUUAUUUUGGGGGUUUAGGGUUUUUCUGAUGACAGAUCUGAUUAUUUGAACUUUUAUUUUAUUUAUGGUUUCGAUAGAGCCUUUGCGGUUAUCUUCAGGGUCGCUUUUGUAUUGUCGGACUGCUUCAAAUCUCAUGUUAACUUGAUAGUGUUCUUGAUGCCCCCACCUCCCUAAAUCAUGAUAGCAUAUCUUUAACUUCUUGCUUUGCUUGUGGUACUAGCAAUGAGUAGUAGUAAGAAGAAGAAUCCAACUGUAUUCCUGGAUGUCUCCAUUGGCGGGGAUCCCCUUGAACGUAUCGUGAUUGAGGUAUUACAUCCACACUCUCUGUGCCUUUCUUUUCCUUGUCUUAAAGUUUCUCUCUCAAUUGCAGCUUUUUGCUCAUCUUGUCCCCAAGACUGCCGAGAACUUUCGUGCCCUCUGCACAGGUACCCUUUUAACUUUCUUUGUGUGGUAUUCAUGUCAACUUGACAAGAUAAUAAUGGGCUUCUCUCUCAGGUGAGGCAGGCCUUGGCAAGACCACUAGCAAGCCUCUACAUUUCAAAGGAUCAUCUUUCCAUCGAGUCAUCAAAGGAUUCAUGGCCCAAGUAUCUAUCCCUUCUACUUAUUCAUUUUCUUCUAUGCUUCUCAUGGACAAACCAAUUCAUUACCGCUUCUCUUUCCUUCCUCUUUUUGCAGGGUGGUGAUUUUUCUAAUGGAAAUGGUAUUCUUCUAACCUCUUAUCCUCUAAUCAUAUUAUAUAUAAGAUCCUAUGUAUAUUUUUAUGUUGUCUGUACCUCACGGCCGUAGAGGCAGUCUAGUUACUAGUUAGCCACAACACACGUUUAAGGAACUGACACAAAGGAGCUAAUUUUACAUAUGAUGAAAAUGGCACUUUAGAAGGGUGUAUGGGUUUUUUUUUUGAUUCAUUACACUUAGAAUAAAUGAUUUUGAAGGACUUUGGUUGGUUUUCAGGCACCGGCGGUGAGAGCAUCUAUGGUGGGAAGUUUCCAGGUACUACUUUUUUUUAUAACCUCUAUAUUCACCUUUCUUGAGUUGGUAAAAAAUCCUCAAUAUAUUCUGUUACCUCUACAGAUGAGAACUUUGAACUGGACCAUGAAGAAGGUGGAGUCCUUUCGAUGGCAAAUUGUGGCCCAAACACCAACGGGUCACAGUUUUUUAUCCUUUUCAAACGCCAGCCUCAUCUCGAUGGGUAAUGCAUGUUCCAUAGAUAUGGUUAUUUCUUAGAAAUUAAACUCAUUGUAAAAAACAGUUUGAAAUGUUCUGUUUUUUUUCCCCCUGGAAUCAUAUUGUAGGAAGCAUGUUGUAUUUGGGAAAGUCGUUAAGGGAAUGGAAGUUGUCAAGAAAAUGGAGCUCGUAGGGACGAGUGAUGGUAAACCAACCAGCAAUGUCAAAAUAAUUGACUGUGGCGAAGUGUCUCAGUUAAAAGGCGAGGAUGCUGCUGAGAAAGAUAAAGGUAGUGAAGUUAAUUUUUGAUUGUGGAAUGGCUAUGUUUAUGAUUCUUCGGUGAUUUCCAGGGAAAUUGAAAAAAUCUAGCAAAGACUCACGGGAGAAGAGGACUAAGCGAAAAAGAAGAUACUCGUCUUCGUCAGAUUCAUACAGCUCAAGUUCUGAAUCAGAUUCUGAAUCAGAAACAGAUUCAUCCUCGUAUGAGUCUAGUUCUUCCAGUGAUGGGAAGCGUAGGAAGAGGAGGUCAACAAAGAGACACAAAGGCCGACGCGGGGAAAGAAAGAUCAAAGGACGAAAGGGGAAAAAGAAUGCUCGAGGAGAUAGACCACCUCAACGCAGGUCUGGCUAUUAGCUCAGUUAAUGGUAUUUAGUUUAGUCUUUGCCAGUUCUUCUGCGUGAUUCUUUAGUGUGUUUUUUUUUUUACAGAAACAAGGAUAGUUCAAGUGACACCGAGAGUAGCAAUUCUGAUGAUGAGAGAAUGGGCCACGAAAAGGCCAAAAAGUCAAAGAAAGCUAAAGGUAAGUGUAACUCUGUUAAGAAUCUUGGGUCUUUCAGCCUGUAUUUGGCAACUAGUUAUCGUAUGUGGAAGUGACAUUGAAUCUUGCUUUCUUCUUGGAACAGAUGGUGUGCCUGUAAGGAAUGCUGCUGAUUCUAGUCCUGCGGAGAAGAAAUUUUCGGGGGACAAACCAGAUUCUCUUCUGAAUGAAAAUGAACUUGUAGGAAAUGGAAAAGCCACCAAAGUUGAUAAUCAACGUGCGGACUCGGUGAAAUCAAGGUUAAUCCCCCUUACUUUACUUUACUUUGUGUUCUUCAGCUCUGCUUUUGCAUUUAUUUCCGUGUUCUGAUUUGUGGUCCCUGGCAAACUUUUUACCAUGUUCUAUUGCUAUAUAGGAGUAUGAGCCCAGUUUCUAGAAGAGGUCAAAACAGUAGGAGCAAAAGUCCUGCUAGUAGGAGCCCUGUGAGAGAUGUUGGAAAUAGGAGCACAAGUCCUCGCGAGAGGAAAUCUUCAAAAAGCCCAUCUCCAAAUGGUGAGCCCAAGCGCAUCCGAAAGGGGCGUGGGUUCACAGAACGUUAUUCAUUUGCUCGGAAGUACCGUACACCAUCUCCUGAGCGUUCCCCUCCUCGGCGCUGGCCUGAGAGAAGAAGCUUUCAGGACAGGAACACGGACAGGUAACUUAAAUACAUACUGAAAACAAUGAAAGUUGAGACUGUAAGUAAAUAAAUACUAAAGCCUUGUUUUUGUUUAAAUUUGUGGAGGUAUCCAAGCAACAGGAGUUACUCUGAACGCUCGCCUAGACGACGCUUUAGGAGCCCACCCAGGAGAAGGAGCCCUCCAAGGUUGGCUUUCUUUUAUCUCUUUAUGAAGAAGAUUAAACUCCUAAGACAGUCGCUUUACAUAAACUUGUCUGUCGUGCUGCAUAGGUACAACCGGAGGAGAAGAAGCAUUUCACGGAGUCCAGAUGGGCAGCGCAGAGGUUUGAGAGAGAGCCAAAGUCCAAGUCAUCGUAGCCCCAGAAAGAGGCAGCCAAUUAGCCAAGACCUUAAAUCCCGUCUGGGGCCACAAAGGUCUCCUGCAGAAUCGCUCAGCGCUUCGCCCUCAACCUCCCCAUCGGGACAGAGAGGUUUGGUUAGCUAUGCAGAUUGAUCACUCAUCCCUCCAUUUGCAUGCUGCCUGCCUGCUCUGAUGACUUGCGAGUUUUGUUGUUGUUGUCAUAUGAUACUCGUCACAUUUGGCUGUUGUUGCUUUUCAGAUUUUGUUGAAUAUUAAUCAAAUUUAAAGACUAGUUUUAUUUCAGAAUUAGAUUUUGGGGAUUUAAUAAUGUGCGAUAACACAAUUCUUUUGUUGUGGCUCAUCGACCUAUUGAGUAAUUUAAAUCUAUAAUAGAUUUGAGCUUUUAUUGGGCUCUCACACUAAUAAUCCUUAUGGACCAUUCGCCUAUUAAUCACAUAUUAUUUUGAGCUUAAAUUGGGCUUUAUUUAUAAGUGAAAACAAUUCUUUAGUUAUGGCCCAUGGUCCUAUUGUAAAGCUUAUAUUGGUCUUAAGAAUGUGUGAGUUAUAAAAAAGGCCUCCUUGACUUUUGGAGAAAAUAAAAUAAAAAGUGUACGGAAGAGGGGGUGAGAGUUUCUUUUCUGAGAGUGUCAGAUCUGAGAGCGAAGGAAGGAUGCGAGUGGGUGACAAUCGGUAAUAGAGAGCAUCAUAGAAGCCGCGUGACCUCAUAUCGAAUUGAGAUGGAGGAAGCUGCUUCUGUGGGCGAUGCACAUGCACGGGGGAAGCACAUGAUCCUUGCGGAGCUUGGUCGUGUGGAACAGGAAGUCAGAUUCUUGGAGGUGAGAGAUUCUUCUUCUUCUUUCUAUUCUAUUUUUAGCUGCCUAAUUCACACUUGCUCGAUGUUAUUAGGUUGUAGACUGUUUUCUAAGAACUGGCUCAUGUGUUCGAAAUCUAUUCUCCGUUGAUUUUUGCUUACCUCAUUCCUUCUUAUAUACUUGUGAUCAUAGUCCAGCUCCCCCUUUUCUCAUUCAUAUGAUGUGCUUUUCAAUCUUGGAUUGUAUGUGUGCACUCUUUUGUGUCUUCAUCUUUGAAUUUCCCCAGAAUUCGUUGCUAUUACUCUCCAGAAAAAGUUGGAAGAGCUCGGCCAGACAGAUAGUGUAUCAACCCAGUGUGAGGAGUAAGUGAGGGAAUCUCACCCUAUCUUUUCUUUAGUUAGUUUCCUGAAACUUGCGUGUCUACUGGUGUGAUCAACUUGUGUAUUGUCAUGACUCACAGGCUGCUUUGUGUCAUCGAGAAAUCACCUGACCCUCUCUUGCCACUGUGAGUUGCUUCCAACUCUUUUUGGUGUUUACAUUUUGGUUGCUGUCUGAUGCUGUGUGGUUUUGGCAGGACCAAGGGACCUUUGAACUUAGGAUGGGACCGGUGGUUUGAAGCACCAAAUGGGGGAGAACGCUGCAGAUGCUUUAUACUUUGAUUCAUGAUAGUAAAAUGUAGUAGUUACUAUAUAGGCUUGGCAUUUUUGGUGGUAAAAUAUCUUUAACAUGGGACCAAACUAUUAUCAAAAUGUGUGUGUUUCAACAUUGUGUGCAUCUUCCCUUACUAGUAAAAUCGUACAGGUUACGAUGAGCAUUGGAUUGUAUAUAAUGGUUUAGUUGCACGUAUGUAAACAGUAUAUGUUUAAUUUUGUCUGUAUGAGAUCCGAGCAAUGGUGUAUUAGCUUCUCAGGAGCAUUUUCUUUCUCUAACUGUAAUGUUUCAUGCAUAAAAUAUAUCUUCUCUCUUGUCAUUAGCCUUGUCAAUGUUGCUAUCACAGGUUUCUGGUGCGCUGGAUCACGUUCACAAUAUAUGACUUUUUUUUUUAUGUCAAAGAACAUAACACACAAAUGGUGCUAAUGUCUCGUUGUACAAUACCUGGGACGUUGGAAGUAUCUACAGUCUGAACAGUUGGUGGCGGAGCUGCAGGGGCAUGGGCUGCCUGCUGUGUUUGAGGACUUGCUGGUUGCACAGAACCUAUAACAGAUCUUGGAGCAACUCCUGGAGUUGACAUAGGUGUAAAUCCUAUGGGUCCAGCUCCUGGACCAACUACUUGGGGCAUCUUGGGGUUAGAAUAUUUCCUAAUUUGUGAAGGGACAGAGGAUGCAUAUGAACCAGGACCAGGAGGAACGGGGUAUGCAUUGUUAGAUUGUCCCUGAUCACAUAGCUGCUAGCUUAAUCAAACUAAAAAGUGCCAGAAAAUUCAAACACAGUUGAGUUGAUGAAUAACACACGGUGAAUGAAUGAGAAGCAAUGGUUGGCUGCUAAUAUUGGUAUGCGUUCUUCAGUGCAGGGGGAGUUGAUGGAACAAAAGUAGUUCUCAUGGAUGGCUGAGCAUUGCUUGCAGGUGCCGAAGGAUAUGAUGGCUGCAUAUACACAUGUUUGUCAAGAAAUUUUGGCCCAAAAAACCUAUACAUAACAAACAAAACAGUUCCCCACCACAAACUUUUCCUCGCGACCUCUAAGAUAUAGAUUUUACAGAACCAAACUGAAGCAAAGGUCUAACUUAUCCCAUUUUCCGGACAUGUCAUUAGAGGCUGAAAUUCGGUUGAGGAGUAUAUUUUUCGGGGUUUUUGGCAUUUGGCCACCACAUACAUAAUCCAGAUGAUGUCUUCCUAUCUCAAAAAAUUGACCAAUACCCUAUAAAAUAAACGGAAAAUCUUCUGAUCUAGACAUCUGAAAACUGCCUGAUAAUGAUGACCAUUUAUGCAUAUGAUGUUGUAACGAAGAAUGUGUAAAAGGAAAUGCAACAAAGCCAAAACUUCAGGAACCUGCGGUGCUGGCUGAGCUUGGUGAGGCAUAAACAUGGUUGCUUGUUGCAUUGGUGGAUGUGAAGCUGGGGGCACAUAUCCUCCAACAUAAGAAUCGGUGUAUGGUUGUUGAUAGUGAUUAUCAUAUGGGUUACUGUCUUACUGAUAAUGUUUGGUUGCGCAUGUGUUGGCUCAUAAGCCACAGAAGAAUACAUGCUAAGUAUGUUGUCCGUACAAGCUAUAUCCAGACUCUAGUUUAAAGACAGUUGCAGAGAAAAAAAGAAUGAGACCUGAUUAUAUGGUAUGGUGCUUUGAAGCUGAAUCUUGAUUGGCUAUUGAAAAAGUUUUUGUUUCCCUUUUAAGAAAUCAAGUUUUUAUGAAUCUUGAUUGGCUAAUAAAAUGCCUUUUUUUUAAACACUUGCGGGAUUUUAUUAUGACAUAGAAAUUGUAAAGUCGUAGUGUAAUACAUAAUUAAGAAAGCAAGGAACAUAGUUAUAAUAUAAAUAGGACACAUCUCCAUGAAUCUCCCGCUUCGCUAAUUUAUCUGCCACCUGAUUUGAGUUUCUGUUUGUCCAUAUAAAUUGCAUUAUUCCAGUUUUCUACUCUACUAUAUAAUUUCUCGUGUCCAAUUAUAUCCAUCAAAAUGAAGAACUUGACGAUUGAGGAUGUCAAUUGCUUUUCUACAGUCACUUUCAUGUAACUUCUACUCCAAGCAUGUUGAAGAGCCAUAAGAAUUGCUUGUAACUCACUUUCAAGGACAUUCUGAACUUUUUUUCCUACUGCCUGCACUGUUCCUUGAUAGCUUCCAAAAGAGUCCCUGAUAAUAAAACCCACUUUACUUGCUUGAUCCACAUUAAUAAAAAAUCUAUCAACAUUAUACUUUAUCCAUUCAUCUGGUGGUCUUCUCCAUUUGUUAAGGCGACUGUCAUUUUGAGUGCUAGGAAUCCUUCUUUGUUCUGCUUCAAGAGUUUGAUUACUAUUCCAUCAUUCUCUAACAUCCGUAUAAUCAAAGCUGAUAAAAUGCUUUAUGAAAAACAAAAUCUUUGUUAAGAAAAAAGAAAAAAAAUGAAAAUCAUUCGAAAAAGUAAAAAAAAACCAGUACCUAAAUUUGGAGGAAGAAAAUGAAUAUAGUUGCGGAUUUAUAUUUAAAUGUGUUUAAAAUGUCUUUUGAAAAUAAAGAAAGAAGAAAUUGCUAGUUUAAAAAAAGAGAAGAAAAAAAGAAAUUGCAAUCUGCAUCGAUGGUCAAGAAUAUGACAGGUGUCGAGUACUAAGUAAGCUGUAUUGUAACAGUGGUGCACUAGCAUGCAGAAUAUAAUAGCUUAGAUUGCUAUCAUUAUCCCCUUUGUGGAUUAGGUAGUGCUCUCACUUCGCCUUCUCUACACAAACAAAACUGGUUCGCUAAGAGCUCCGACAAUGGCUGUCUGCGCAACUCACUCCUCUCUCAUGAUAGCAUACGCCGCAUCCAAGGACCUUACAAUUCCGUCUCUUUUCUCAUCUGCCAACCCAAGACCCAACAAGUUGAGCGUCGCACUCUAUCCCCCUCUUGUUCUCCUUGCGGGGAGAAGAGCUUCGAACCCAUCCUUCCCGGUGGUUGUCUCAGCCGUAGCCGCAGAGGCUGAUGUCGACACGGAGGACGCGGAGCAGAACGAAGCCACCUCCACCACCGCCACAGCCGUCCUCGAUCCGCCAAAGCCUAAGAAAGGAAAAGCAGCUUUGCUUCUCAAGAGAGAUAGAGUAUGCUUUGCUUAUCCAUCCUUUCCUUUACAAUCCCAAGCUCUAAACAUGAUUUUUUUUUCUUUCUAUGACGAUGAUGAUUCUUUUAUGUUUGUUUGUUUGUUACUCUCAUUUGGCAGACAAGGUCUAAGAGGUUUCUGGAAAUCCAAAAGCUAAGGGAAACCAAAAAGGAGUACGACGUCAAGACUGCUAUAUCUUUGCUUAAGCAAACCGCUAACACAAGGUUUGUGGAGUCGGUCGAAGCCCAUUUCCGUCUCAACAUCGAUCCUAAGUACAAUGAUCAGCAGCUGCGAGCAACCGUAUGGUUUUUUUUAUUUUGCUUUACAUAUAUGUAUAGCUUUGUGUUUCGUUGAAAUUUAAAUCUGAACGCAUUGUCUUUGGUAGGUGAGCCUUCCUAAAGGAACAGGGCAAACUGUUAAAGUGGCUGUUCUUGCACAAGGUAACUAAUUGCCCCCCCUCCCCUCCCCUCCCCUCCCCUCCCAAAUGCUAAGUUAGUCGGACAGUUCAUUCCAAGGGACUCUGUAGAAAAUACUUUGUGUGGUUGACCUUCUAUUAUUUUGUUUGGAUGGAUUGGUGUAUUUCUAUAGAGAAAAAUGUGCUGGGAUCAUUCUUUUCCUUUCUUUCUGUUUCUCUAAGUUAUUUCCAUGAUGAAUAAUAUCCAGGUGAGAAGGUCGAUGAAGCAAAAAAUGCAGGGGCAGAUAUUGUGGGCAGUGAUGAUUUGAUCGAACAGAUAAAAGGAGGGUUCAUGGAGUUCGAUAAGUUAAUUGCAUCCCCGGAUAUGAUGGUCAAGGUGUGUUUUUACUCAUUUGUUAAUAACAAAAAUAAACUUGAAUAGCUGUUACGACAUUCAUUCUUGGCAAAGAAUGUGACAUGAGACAAAUGUUGCUCGUCAUCUCUUAUUACUAAACCUUCUUUAACUUGGGCGGUUAGGUUGCUGGCCUGGGAAAGAUUCUUGGUCCACGAGGACUCAUGCCAAAUCCCAAGGCUGGUACCGUCACAGCUAACAUUCCACAGGUUAGCCUACUACUUACUCAGGCAGGCAAAAUCAUCUUCGGGUAAUCAAUCAUAGUAUAAUGAUGAUAUGCAUAAAUCUAUCUCAGGCUAUAGAAGAGUUCAAGAAGGGAAAAGUAGAAUUCAGAGCAGACAAAACUGGGAUUGUUCACAUUCCGUUUGGGAAAGUGAAUUUCACAGAGGAAGACCUGCUCGUAAACUUCCUUGCAGCAGUGGUAGGCUGAUUCUCCCCCAUUUAAUAACGUUGUUUAUCUCUUGUGCUGCUGAAUAAAAAGAGUGGAACGUAAAUGCAGAAAUCGGUGGAGACAAACAAGCCAAAGGGAGCAAAAGGAGUGUACUGGAAAAGCGCACACAUAUGUUCGUCAAUGGGGCCAUCCAUCAAGUUGAACAUAAGGGAGAUGAUAGACUUCAAGCCAUAAAUAACCACAUUUGUGUUUUUUUUUUUGUGAGUGUAGGCGAACACCAUUAGUUAUCUCUUGUAUACCUCACCGGUUGUAUCACCUUAACUCUGAUAAGACCAUUUGCUUUAUUGAUUAUUACUGUUAAAAUUGCGAGGCCUCUAUUGCCUUAAUGCCUGCCUUCACCACUGGAGAUGAGAGAACACACGAGUCUUUUUUUUUUUAAAUAAAAAAAAAAACAAAUAUCCUUGAAAUUGGAAGAUAAAAUGAGAUAAUUUCAUGAGGCCGUUACGUUGCGACGUGGCAGCGUUUUCUGCCAAGGAUACAAAGCUCGUGAGUGAGUGAAAAGGAAGGUUCGUAAUCCUUCCUUGCAAUCAAUCGAUCAUUCAUGGCGGAGAACUGCAUAGUUUCGGUCAACCCUAAACCCUCAAAGGGAUUAUCCUCUAAGCUUCUCGAUCUUGUGGAGAGAGUUGUUGUGAAGCUCAUGCACGAUGCUUCUCUGCCUCUCCACUACCUCUCCGGCAACUUCGCUCCCGUGCGGGAUGAAACUCCUCCGGUGAAGGAUCUCCCCG